Molecule: ribosomal RNA, 83 nt
Filed under: Escherichia coli
Lineage: Bacteria; Pseudomonadati; Pseudomonadota; Gammaproteobacteria; Enterobacterales; Enterobacteriaceae
Also listed under: 1 other name
Description: partial 16S ribosomal RNA
Rfam family: Bacterial small subunit ribosomal RNA
Source: RNAcentral
UAAUUGAAGAGUUUGAUCAUGGCUCAGAUUGAACGCUGGCGGCAGGCCUAACACAUGCAAGUCGAACGGUAACAGGAAGCAGC